CCUACGGGAGGCAGCAGUGAGGAAUAUUGGUCAAUGGACGAGAGUCUGAACCAGCCAAGUAGCGUGAAGGAUGACUGCCCUAUGGGUUGUAAACUUCUUUUAUAAAGGAAUAAAACGAGGCACGUGUGCCUUUUUGCAUGUACUUUAUGAAUAAGGAUCGGCUAACUCCGUGCCAGCAGCCGCGGUAAUACGGAGGAUCCGAGCGUUAUCCGGAUUUAUUGGGUUUAAAGGGAGCGUAGAUGGGUUGUUAAGUCAGUUGUGAAAGUUUGCGGCUCAACCGUAAAAUUGCAAUUGAUACUGGCAGUGGUGAGUACAGUUGAGGUAGGCGGAAUUCGUGGUGUAGCGGUGAAAUGCUUAGAUAUCACGAAGAACCCCGAUUGCGAAGGCAGCUUACUAAACUGUGACUGACAUUGAUGCUCGAAAGUGUGGGUAUCAAACAGGAUUAGAUACCCCAGUAGU
This 459-nucleotide ribosomal RNA is filed under the name uncultured bacterium. RNAcentral describes it as "partial 16S ribosomal RNA". It matches the Rfam family "Bacterial small subunit ribosomal RNA", at positions 338 to 794 of the family's 1533-position model. The record is from RNAcentral.